This 460-nucleotide ribosomal RNA is filed under the name uncultured bacterium. Its description in RNAcentral is "partial 16S ribosomal RNA". It matches the Rfam family "Bacterial small subunit ribosomal RNA", at positions 338 to 795 of the family's 1533-position model. The record is from RNAcentral.
CCUACGGGUGGCAGCAGUGAGGAAUCUUGGUCAAUGGACGAGAGUCUGAACCAGCCAAGUAGCGUGAAGGAUGACUGCCCUAUGGGUUGUAAACUUCUUUUAUAUGGGAAUAAAAUGUUCCACGUGUGGGAUUUUGUAUGUACCAUAUGAAUAAGGAUCGGCUAACUCCGUGCCAGUAGCCGCGGUAAUACGGGGGAUCCGAGCGUUGUCCGGAUUUAUUGGGUUUAAAGGGAGCGUAGGCGGAUUGUUAAGUCAGUUGUGAAAGUUUGCGGCUCAACCGUAAAAUUUCAGUUGAAACUGGCAGUCUUGAGUACAGUAGAGGUGGGCGGAAUUCGUGGUGUAGCGGUGAAAUGCUUAGAUAUAACGAAGAACUCCGGUUGCGAAGGCAGUUCACUGGACUGCAACUGACACUGAGGCUCGAAAGUGUGGGUAUCAAACAGGAUUAGAUACCCUAGUAGUC